AUUGAACGCUGGCGGAAUGCUUUACACAUGCAAGUCGAACGGUAGAGGGGGCAACCCCUCGAGAGUGGCGAACGGGUGAGUAAUAUAUCGGAACGUGCCCAGUCGUGGGGGAUAACGUAGCGAAAGUUACGCUAAUACCGCAUACGAUCUAAGGAUGAAAGCGGGGGACCGUAAGGCCUCGCGCGAUUGGAGCGGCCGAUAUCAGAUUAGGUAGUUGGUGAGGUAAAGGCUCACCAAGCCAACGAUCUGUAGCUGGUCUGAGAGGACGACCAGCCACACUGGAACUGAGACACGGUCCAGACUCCUACGGGAGGCAGCAGUGGGGAAUUUUGGACAAUGGACGCAAGUCUGAUCCAGCCAUUCCGCGUGCAGGAUGAAGGCCCUCGGGUUGUAAACUGCUUUUGUACGGAACGAAAAGGUCUCUCCUAAUACGAGGGGCUCAUGACGGUACCGUAAGAAUAAGCACCGGCUAACUACGUGCCAGCCGCCGCCGUAA
Molecule: ribosomal RNA, 496 nt
Filed under: uncultured bacterium
Lineage: Bacteria
Description: partial 16S ribosomal RNA
Rfam family: Bacterial small subunit ribosomal RNA
Source: RNAcentral